Non-coding RNA from Salvia hispanica, 479 nucleotides. Lineage: Eukaryota; Viridiplantae; Streptophyta; Magnoliopsida; Lamiales; Lamiaceae. The record is from RefSeq and is a predicted model, not a curated record.
UUCUCCGAACUUAGUGAAGUGAAUAAAUAAAUUCUACAAAGUAAUGAAGCCGAGGUGGGAUUUAGAAAAUCCUAUAAGCCAAGACUAAGGAUAUAGGUGCUAUACCAUAGGGUACAUGCAUUCCCUCUGAGAGAAAUAGUUCAAGUACUAAUUAGCGUGCUACGCUAUUUAUUUUCAAAGGAUAAACUGCUCAAGGGCAAGUGAGGCCAACGCAAAUAAUUGAAUUAAGGAAUAAGCAUACCAGGUUGAACGUCAAGAGGAUAGAGUGAUGAUCGGAGUCGAUGUUAUCAAGUUGAUCUCCCAACGAUUCGUGUCUUCAUACACGAAGUCGUUUAGCAAGGACUUAUUCCGCUGUGCUCUUAGAAUUAUAGAACCUCACCAUCAACUCUGAUUUAUUUGAGGAGAUGUCUAUUCUGUUUUCAAGACCGUGUAAUGAAAUACUUGGCUUCUAUGUAAUCAAUUGACUUGGCCUUGUGAAA